RNAcentral lists this ribosomal RNA (480 nucleotides) under Elmerina hispida. RNAcentral describes it as "eukaryotic LSU rRNA". It matches the Rfam family "Eukaryotic large subunit ribosomal RNA", at positions 114 to 594 of the family's 3401-position model. The record is from RNAcentral. Lineage: Eukaryota; Fungi; Basidiomycota; Agaricomycetes; Auriculariales; Aporpiaceae.
UUUGAAAUCUGGCGGUCCAAGGCCGUCCGAGUUGUAAUCUAGAGAAGCGUUUUCCGCGCCGGACCGUGUACAAGUCCCUUGGAACAGGGCGUCAUAGAGGGUGAGAAUCCCGUCCGUGACACGGACCCCCGGCGCACUGCGAUACGCUUUCGAAGAGUCGAGUUGUUUGGGAAUGCAGCUCAAAACGGGUGGUAAAUUCCAUCUAAAGCUAAAUACAGGCGAGAGACCGAUAGCGAACAAGUACCGUGAGGGAAAGAUGAAAAGAACUUUGGAAAGAGAGUUAAACAGUACGUGAAAUUGUUGAAAGGGAAACGCUUGAAGUCAGUCGCGUCCGCCGGGACUCAGCCUCGCUUUUGCUGGGUGCACUUCUCGGCGGACGGGCCAGCAUCGAUUUCGGUCGCCGGAAAAGGACGGGAGGAAAUGUGGCAGCUUUGGCUGUGUUAUAGACUCUCGUCGCACACGGUGGCCGGGAUCGAGGAC